RNAcentral lists this transfer RNA (88 nucleotides) under Puccinia sorghi. RNAcentral's name for it is "tRNA-OTHER". The record is from RNAcentral. Lineage: Eukaryota; Fungi; Basidiomycota; Pucciniomycetes; Pucciniales; Pucciniaceae.
GACUUGGUAGUCUAUUUGGUAAAGGCAUCUUAUAGUAUAGUCUCUUGGCUUCUAGCUAAGGUCACUGGUUUAAAUCCUGCCCAAGUUG